RNA transcript from Stegostoma tigrinum, 1011 nucleotides. It is a transcript of the gene named diamine acetyltransferase 1-like, with no coding region annotated. NCBI's taxonomy places the organism in Eukaryota, Metazoa, Chordata, Chondrichthyes, Orectolobiformes, Stegostomatidae. The record is from RefSeq and is a predicted model, not a curated record. The transcript is spliced from 4 exons.
GAAGUGCUGCUCUUCUGAAUUUGAUGUCUUUAGUUAUACUGAGGUCCCAAUUGCUCUCUUGGAUGUGUGUAAAAGAUCUCAUAACAGAGCAGCAAAGUUGUGUUCUGGUUAAUAUUUAUCCUGCAAUCAAUGUCCCAAAAGCAGAUUAUCUGGUUAUCUUCAUGCUGCAGUUUAUGUUAGCUUGCUGCGUGCAGAUUGGGUUCCUGCGAUCACUGUCACCAGACUUUCCACCUUGUAAUUUAAAGUUGCUGCGCAAGUAGAGAGAUUGGAAUGGAAAUCCUGUCGGAGAGAGGAACAGAACUUCUUCAAGGUGGGCGUGCCUGGAAAAGAGGUGGCGAUCCCGUACCUGGGUACCUUGUCCCUAAGGAGCAGAAAAGGAGGACCAAAUAGCAAACGAUAGCAAUCCAGAACUGCUGUUGCACUAUAUAUUUUCUUGUCAUGUGGCAGAACACAACCUCGAUAGAAUACUACACCAGACAUAGUGCUCAGGAUUUGUCACAACAGGAAGGAAAGCAUCUGUUCAAAUUCAGUAAAGAAAACAUGAUCAAAUUGGCACAUGAGGAAUGAAAGCAGCACCAGAGGACAAACUAAAGCAGGAAGAUGAUGUAUGUUUCUUUUCCUUGUUUGAGGGAACAAACUUCUUUUUGAGACAGGAGUUCUGCCUCCAGCAGGAUUAUUUGAGCAUCUCCUUUUUAUUAGAAAACAACAGAAGGGUGUAGGCCUGAAGUGUCAGCUUUCCUGCUCUUAAGAUGCUACUUGGCCUGCUGUGCUCCUCCAGCUCUACACCUUGUUAUCUCUGAUCUCCUCACAUAUCAUUCAGUGACUGCAUUUUUUCAGAAAGACAUGCUGUGAUGGCCUCUCUGAAUGCAAAGUUCCAUUGCUACUGGAAUUGAAAAAUAAUGGUUGAUUUAGCAUGAGUACAUUUGUUAUUGACAAUGUAAUGUGUUAACACUUUCAUCAUGUACAGUCCUUAAUUCAGGUUUGUGUCCUAUAUAAAACUCUAAAAGUGAA